Anas platyrhynchos (mallard) is the source of this 542-nucleotide non-coding RNA. The record is from RefSeq and is a predicted model, not a curated record. Lineage: Eukaryota; Metazoa; Chordata; Aves; Anseriformes; Anatidae.
GGAGGAGGCGGGGAGGCGGUGCAGCGCUGGUCGCGGUUUAUGGGGAGGGGGCGGCUCAGGGCGGCCCGCGCGGCUCCCAGCCGCUGACGAGCAGAACGGGUUCGAAGACCUACAGAGGGGCUCAAAGGCCAUGCGGAUGGACCUGAGGCUAACAGAGUGGGCAGCAAAGCAGCAGGGAGCCCGGUGGGGCCAGCUCAGGGCUGGGUGGGAGCAUCCCAGCGGGGAGGGCUGCAGGAUGAGGGCUGUGCAGACCUACAGGGACCUGAGCAGGCACGGAGGACAAGGAAGAGCCUUACCCAAGCUGACAAUCUCCCAGAGCAGGACACCAAAGGACCACCUGAAACAGCAGGAGGUGAGGCUGGGACAGAGCCGGUGGCAGCGUCCCACUUGCGGGUAGGGGGACAUGCAGACAGGGUUCGUGGUGGGACUGGAUGGGGCCAGGAGGGCAACCAGGGCUUGGGCAGAUCCCACAGCUCCCCAGGGAUGUACCCACUGCCCUGGAGGGACAGAGGUGGCCACGUCUGUGCCCCAACGCUGGUGCC